Molecule: ribosomal RNA, 473 nt
Filed under: uncultured bacterium
Lineage: Bacteria
Description: bacterial SSU rRNA
Rfam family: Bacterial small subunit ribosomal RNA
Source: RNAcentral
CGCUAUCACUCCGUACGGGAGGCAGCAGUAGGGAAUCUCCACAAUGGACGAAAGUCUGAUGGAGCAAACGCCGCGUGAGUGAAGAAGGGUUUCGGCUCGUAAAACUCUGUUGUUAAAGAAGAACAUAUCUGAGAGUAACUGUUCAGGUAUUGACGGUAUUUAACCAGAAAGCCACGGCUAACUACGUGCCAGCAGCCGCGGUAAUACGUAGGUGGCAAGCGUUGUCCGGAUUUAUUGGGCGUAAAGCGAGCGCAGGCGGUUUUUAAGUCUGAUGUGAAAGCCUUCGGCUCAACCGAAGAAGUGCAUCGGAAACUGGGAAACUUGAGUGCAGAAGAGGACAGUGGAACUCCAUGUGUAGCGGUGAAAUGCGUAGAUAUAUGGAAGAACACCAGUGGCGAAGGCGGCUGUCUGGUCUGUAACUGACGCUGAGGCUCGAAAGUAUAGGUAGCAAACAGGAUUAGAUACCCUGGUAG